This 423-nucleotide ribosomal RNA is filed under the name uncultured bacterium. Its description in RNAcentral is "bacterial SSU rRNA". It matches the Rfam family "Bacterial small subunit ribosomal RNA", at positions 354 to 776 of the family's 1533-position model. The record is from RNAcentral.
GUGGGGAAUCUUGGGCAAUGGGCGCAAGCCUGACCCAGCCACGCCGCGUGGAGGAAGACACCCCUAUGGGGCGUAAACUCCUUUUAUAUGGGAAGAAAACCUUCCUCGGGAAGGCCUGACGGUACCAUAUGAAUAAGCACCGGCUAACUCCGUGCCAGCAGCCGCGGUAAUACGGAGGGUGCAAGCGUUGUCCGGAUUCACUGGGUGUAAAGGGUGUGCAGGCGGGGCGGUAAGUCAGAAGUGAAAGCCCACGGCUCAACCGUGGAAUGGCUUUUGAAACUGUCGCUCUUGAGUCUCGGAGAGGUCGCUGGAAUUCGUGGUGUAGCGGUGAAAUGCGUAGAUAUCACGAGGAACACCGGAGGCGUAGGCGGGCGACUGGACGACGACUGACGCUGAGGCACGAAAGCGUGGGGAGCAAACAGG